This 2247-nucleotide long non-coding RNA is filed under the name Acanthaster planci (crown-of-thorns starfish). Its description in RNAcentral is "uncharacterized LOC110987572". The record is from RNAcentral. Lineage: Eukaryota; Metazoa; Echinodermata; Asteroidea; Valvatida; Acanthasteridae.
UGGGCCAUGCAUGCAGGCCUUAUUGGUGCACACACCAACAUCUACUUGAAUGGUUGAUCUGGACAAAUGAACUGGGCUCUGGAAAUUAGCUAUUUGUCACUUUUUGAUUGAGAUUACUACAGCUUUGGGUGAUCGAAGGGGACUCCAUGACUAAGAAAAUCUAAAGUCAUCACCUCACUCACUCUAAGAAGGUUAUGAGCAUGUCCUACUUGGUUUGGAAGCGGAUGACCUUGUGCCUCAAGCACAAAACCUACUAGAGAAAUUCGACCCAUCCAAACUAAUCCUCCAUGUCAGGACCAACAAUGUCAAUGAAGACCCUGAUGAACUGGGUAAAGCACGGUAUUCGACAGGAGUUCAUGAUCCACACCAAAUGCCACCAUAUUUCAUUAUACGAUGAACCUUGACAACCUACAGAGGGUGCAGUAAAUAAUCAUAUAUUUCAGUAUAAUGUCUAAUCAGGCACUGUGCUCUGCAAUAUCUUGAAUCAUGUUUCAUGCACUAGUUUAUUUAGUAAACUAUGCUACUAGCCCAUAUUAGUGAACAGUUUCAACCAAGCGAGAAAAAUAACCAGUAAGAUGUGUAUUGUAAUAACUCAAUAAUGGUACUACGGAAUUACAGCACAUUUUUGUUCCUUCCGGAAUUCUUUAUAAAUGUUGCCAUAGCAUUUGCCUCUUUUUAUUCACUAAAAACUCCAUUUGAUAACAUUUUUAAAUGGCAGUGGUAAGGUGUUACGUUAUUCUCAUCUGUCACCCAAACUCACCAAAAGUCACCAUUUUUGCCACCAAAACUGAGAAAGCAGCUCUUUUAAUUCUAUUUAUACAGCUCUUUUGCAGGCAUUUUAAGGCAACUCUCUGCUGUGUUUCUUUGCUUUUACAUGUACGUAAAACUGAGUUUGAAAGUAUGAACUCCCCCUUCCAAAAAAACAACACAGGGCCUUUUUCACAGACCAAAUUAUUUGUCGGCCAGAUGACACGAUGAAAUUACCACUGGUAAAGUUCACAUCAGGUCAUCCCAAUGCAUUAACCCCCUCCCCCACGCCUUCAUUGUCUUCUUUCAAUUAAAAGGACCAUAGCCCCUGGUGUUCUUGAAUCAACUGCGGAAAUAAUAAACCUUUUUCCCAAUCAAGUUGACACAAAGGCUACUCCUAAAUUCCCAGCUUGCAGCUGUUUGUCCAUAGACAAAAAAGAAAAUAACCAUUAAAAGUGAGAUUUCUUUGGAAGAAGUGUCCCCCAAAAGAUCCCUCAUUCUUAUGAUUGCUACCCCUUGUCUCCCUCAAAUCUGGUCACCAGAGGAUAUUGCCUGAAAUUUAGAAAGAAUUAAAUGACAAGGACAUGGUGUGUAUGUUGCCUCUAUCCCUCUAGGGAUAUUCUGAAAACUAAACAGUCUUUUUUUUUUCAAUGAGUCUGGGCCAAAGGGUGAUAAAGAUCAACUACCUUACAAUCUGCCUGAAAUCAAUCUUUUACUCUGGUGCAACACCUCUAUCCACAAGAUAAAUUGGACAUUUAAAAAAAAACCAAAAACUUCCUUGAAAUGUUAGAGACAUUUAAGAAUGUUACUGGAGAAAGCUGUUUGGGAUUAAUUAGAAAAAGUAGAGUUAAGUUGUCAAAAAUAAGUUUGACUCAUAACUAACCUGACCAUAACAACUACAUUUAUGAAACCAGAACAAUUCCCAUAAAUAUCACAGCAUCAUAAGGGUAUGUUUUGUUCUUUUGUAAGACUUACAGGAUAGGAAGGGAAUAGUAUGAAAUCAUGAUAAAUAUGGAAAAUAGAGGUAACAAUGAAGUAUUGUUAGUGAUAAUGACAAAACAUCAAAGUGCUCCAUUGAGCCAGCUUGGAAAUUGUGAUAUUAUCUUUCUGAACAGCCAAUGGCAAUAGAGCCACUGCAUUUAGCAUCAGCAUUUAUUUCCCCCAAUCCCCUUUACCAGAGAGGACAAUGGUGAUGUCGCACAAAAAGGGAAAAGAAUUGAGAAUGGACGGGUGCUGGAAAUUCCUCCAUGAAUAUUGGCCAAUUAAAUGGAAAUUGCUAAAUGUGAAUCACACCUUUUAAUCUGUAUUGAACAUUGAGUGGGGUGACCUGUGGGGAAAAAAAGGAAGAAACUGCAAAUCCAAGUUGUAAGAAAUUUAUUGAGGUAUAACAGCAUUUGCCACAUUACUCUUAAGAGUGGAUUCAAGAAAUGCAAAUGUAAGCCUCUCAUUCUGAAUGAGUAACUGGAUUAAUUGAUUUUAUCCAACCUUCAUGUUGUUGUU